UACAGAGGUCCCAAGCGUUGUUCGGAUUCACUGGGCGUAAAGGGUGCGUAGGUGGUGAGGUAAGUCGGAUGUGAAAGCUCGGAGCUCAACUCCGAAAUGGCAUUGGAAACUACCUUGCUCGAGGGUUGGAGGGGGGACUGGAAUACUUGGUGUAGCAGUGAAAUGCGUAGAUAUCGGGAGGAACACCGGUGGCGAAGGCGGCCCCCUGGUUGGAUACUGACGCUGAGACGCGAAAGCGUGGGGAGCAAACAGG
RNAcentral lists this ribosomal RNA (253 nucleotides) under uncultured bacterium. RNAcentral's name for it is "partial 16S ribosomal RNA". It matches the Rfam family "Bacterial small subunit ribosomal RNA", at positions 524 to 776 of the family's 1533-position model. The record is from RNAcentral.